UACACUCUCCCGGCCUUCGGUUCCGUUCGAUUGGGUUCCACCCUGGUCGACGGUGAAACGGGAAACAGUGGCGUGCUCCGUGCGUCAAACUGUGCUGCCCCCGCAACGGUAAGAGAGCGUCGCCGGCAUCUUGCGCCGACGUAGUCCUGGUCAAUUGCCACUGUGAUGCCGCCCGGCAUCGCGGGAAGGCGACCGGGAUGCUUUCAGCCCGGAGACCGGCCGAAAGGGGUUCGCCGACG
RNAcentral lists this non-coding RNA (239 nucleotides) under Burkholderiales bacterium. The record is from RNAcentral. Lineage: Bacteria; Pseudomonadati; Pseudomonadota; Betaproteobacteria; Burkholderiales.